This 253-nucleotide ribosomal RNA is filed under the name uncultured bacterium. Its description in RNAcentral is "partial 16S ribosomal RNA". It matches the Rfam family "Bacterial small subunit ribosomal RNA", at positions 524 to 776 of the family's 1533-position model. The record is from RNAcentral.
UACGAAGGGGGCUAGCGUUGCUCGGAAUUACUGGGCGUAAAGCGCGUGUAGGUGGCAAGGCAAGUCGGGUGUGAAAGCCCUGGGCUCAACCCAGGAAGUGCACUCGAUACUGCCUCGCUAGAGUCCCGGAGAGGUUGGUGGAACUCUCGGUGUAGCGGUGAAAUGCGCAGAUAUCAGGAAGAACACCCGUGGCGAAGGCGGUUCUCUGGGACGGUACUGACGCUGAGACGCGAAAGCGUGGGGAGCGAACAGG